Molecule: long non-coding RNA, 562 nt
Organism: Pezoporus flaviventris
Lineage: Eukaryota; Metazoa; Chordata; Aves; Psittaciformes; Psittacidae
Exons: 3
Source: RefSeq, a predicted model, not a curated record
AGCCCUGAGGGCAGCGACGUCCGCGAUGGGGUGAGGAACCACAACCACAAAGUUCAGAUAGACUUAGACAAGAGCACUAUGGAAACCACUCAAGGUGAUGAGAAGAGAGGGGCUUUUGCUGCAUUUUGGCAUGCUGAGCUCCAGUAGAAGGAUAGCCACUGACCACUUUGCAGACCCAUCACUAUUAGGAUCACUGCAGCACAUCACUCAGCCAUGGCUUUUCCCCAUCUCAGUGAGAAAAGUGGCUCCGUAGAAACCGAUUAUUCACCACAUCAUGCCAUCUUUUCAGCAAAUAUCUACAGCAACUUCUACAGUGACUGUAGGAAACACUGCUUCAGAAGAACCCAGAUACAUUUUGUGCAUGAACACAAAGCAAGAUACAGGGCUUGGAAACAACAUGACCCCCUUGUACAGCAGCAGCAGCACUGCAUGUUACCUGCAGACCAUCUUUGAUUCAGCUACUUGGUGACAGAGACAUAUUCUAGGAGUAGCUGAACAUUAUUUCCAUUUCCUUUUCCUGCCUCCUCCUUGUGAGCAUUAAAAGGUAUUCGUGUUUCAUUUA